Molecule: ribosomal RNA, 433 nt
Filed under: uncultured bacterium
Lineage: Bacteria
Description: partial 16S ribosomal RNA
Rfam family: Bacterial small subunit ribosomal RNA
Source: RNAcentral
AACGAACGCUGGCGGCAUGCCUAACACAUGCAAGUCGAACGAACCCUUCAGGUCUUUUGGCGCACGGGUUCGUCACGCGUGGGAACCUGCCCUUAGGGUCGGCCUAACUCUCCGACAGGGAUGCUAUUGCCGAAUCAUGUCUUCUGCCCGAAGAUUUAUUGCACUUGUAUGGUCCGGCGUUGAAUUAGCUAGUUAGUACGGUAAAAGCCUACCCCGGCGACGAUCCAUAGCUGGUCUGAGAGAAUGAUCAGCCACACUGGGACUGAGACCCGGCCCAGACUCCUACGGGAGGCAGCAGUGGGGGAUAUUGCAAAACGGGCGAAAUCAUGAACCAGCAAUGCCGGGUGAGUGAUGAAGGUAUGAGGGUUGUAAAGUGCUUUUACCCGGGAUGAUAAUGACAGUACCGGGAGAAUAAGCCCCGGCUAACUCCGUG